This 780-nucleotide long non-coding RNA is filed under the name Marmota monax (woodchuck). The record is from RNAcentral. Lineage: Eukaryota; Metazoa; Chordata; Mammalia; Rodentia; Sciuridae.
CCUGACUCCUCUCUCUGAGCCCAUCUUGCCUGGACAGUCAGCCUCCAUCUCCUGCAGGUCCAGUUAGAGCAUCCUACAUAGUAAUGGAAACACAUAUUUGAACUUGGUUGUGCACAAGCCAGGCCAGGCUCCACAGGGCCUAAUAUAUGGGGUUUCCAAGCAGUUCACUGGGGUCCCAGACAGGUUCAGUGGCAGUGGGUCAGAAACAGAUUUCACACUGACAAUCAGCAGGGUGGAGCCUGACAAUGCUGGAAUAUAUUACUGCUAGCAAGGUACACAUUAUCCUCCCACAGUGGUGCAGCCCCAAACAAAAACCUCCCUGCCUGGGUGGCUCUGCUGCCACAUGAGCUGCUGGACUGGGCAGCAGCACAGCAGAUUUUCUGCCCUGUGAGAGGAAGGUGCUGGGAACUCAGGGAACAAGUGCAGCUGAGUGCUAUGGACCAUGACUGCCUGGGCCACAGCUCAGGAUACACCCAUGAGUGGCCCUGUCAGCUGCAGCAGCCUGGCCUCGCAUGUGGAGGUCAACACAGAGGUGUCCAGAGACCCUGUGAAUGAGCAGACAGGAUGAGCGUGGACACUGCAGAGGGAGCAGGACCUGGGCCCUUGGCAGGACUUGGCCAAGUUAGUGAAGAGAUGAAGUGAAAUGCUAGAGGUCCCUCCAAAUGCUGCUCCAUGUGAAAUUCAGAUUCAAACCUAAUAAAACAAACAAACAAAUGAAACAGAAAAAUGACUUUGCCUGCAAUAACUAAUAAAACGAACUUCAUGAAAUUGACUUAUUAA